UUAAGCGACUAAGCGUACACGGUGGAUGCCCUGGCAGUCAGAGGCGAUGAAGGACGUGCUAAUCUGCGAUAAGCGUCGGUAAGGUGAUAUGAACCGUUAUAACCGGCGAUUUCCGAAUGGGGAAACCCAGUGUGAUUCGUCACACUAUCAUUAACUGAAUCCAUAGGUUAAUGAGGCGAACCGGGGGAACUGAAACAUCUAAGUACCCCGAGGAAAAGAAAUCAACCGAGAUUCCCCCAGUAGCGGCGAGCGAACGGGGAGCAGCCCAGAGCCUGAAUCAGUGUGUGUGUUAGUGGAAGCGUCUGGAAAGGCGCGCGAUACAGGGUGACAGCCCCGUACACAAAAAUGCACAUGCUGUGAGCUCGAUGAGUAGGGCGGGACACGUGGUAUCCUGUCUGAAUAUGGGGGGACCAUCCUCCAAGGCUAAAUACUCCUGACUGACCGAUAGUGAACCAGUACCGUGAGGGAAAGGCGAAAAGAACCCCGGCGAGGGGAGUGAAAAAGAACCUGAAACCGUGUACGUACAAGCAGUGGGAGCACAGAGCAAUCUGUGUGACUGCGUACCUUUUGUAUAAUGGGUCAGCGACUUAUAUUCUGUAGCAAGGUUAACCGAAUAGGGGAGCCGAAGGGAAACCGAGUCUUAACUGGGCGUUAAGUUGCAGGGUAUAGACCCGAAACCCGGUGAUCUAGCCAUGGGCAGGUUGAAGGUUGGGUAACACUAACUGGAGGACCGAACCGACUAAUGUUGAAAAAUUAGCGGAUGACUUGUGGCUGGGGGUGAAAGGCCAAUCAAACCGGGAGAUAGCUGGUUCUCCCCGAAAGCUAUUUAGGUAGCGCCUCGUGAAUUCAUCUCCGGGGGUAGAGCACUGUUUCGGCAAGGGGGUCAUCCCGACUUACCAACCCGAUGCAAACUGCGAAUACCGGAGAAUGUUAUCACGGGAGACACACGGCGGGUGCUAACGUCCGUCGUGAAGAGGGAAACAACCCAGACCGCCAGCUAAGGUCCCAAAGUCAUGGUUAAGUGGGAAACGAUGUGGGAAGGCCCAGACAGCCAGGAUGUUGGCUUAGAAGCAGCCAUCAUUUAAAGAAAGCGUAAUAGCUCACUGGUCGAGUCGGCCUGCGCGGAAGAUGUAACGGGGCUAAACCAUGCACCGAAGCUGCGGCAGCGACGCUGAUGCGUUGUUGGGUAGGGGAGCGUUCUGUAAGCCUGCGAAGGUGUGCUGUGAGGCAUGCUGGAGGUAUCAGAAGUGCGAAUGCUGACAUAAGUAACGAUAAAGCGGGUGAAAAGCCCGCUCGCCGGAAGACCAAGGGUUCCUGUCCAACGUUAAUCGGGGCAGGGUGAGUCGACCCCUAAGGCGAGGCCGAAAGGCGUAGUCGAUGGGAAACAGGUUAAUAUUCCUGUACUUGGUGUUACUGCGAAGGGGGGACGGAGAAGGCUAUGUUGGCCGGGCGACGGUUGUCCCGGUUUAAGCGUGUAGGCUGGUUUUCCAGGAAAAUCCGGAAAAUCAAGGCUGAGGCGUGAUGACGAGGCACUACGGUGCUGAAGCAACAAAUGCCCUGCUUCCAGGAAAAGCCUCUAAGCAUCAGGUAACAUCAAAUCGUACCCCAAACCGACACAGGUGGUCAGGUAGAGAAUACCAAGGCGCUUGAGAGAACUCGGGUGAAGGAACUAGGCAAAAUGGUGCCGUAACUUCGGGAGAAGGCACGCUGAUAUGUAGGUGAAGUCCCUCGCGGAUGGAGCUGAAAUCAGUCGAAGAUACCAGCUGGCUGCAACUGUUUAUUAAAAACACAGCACUGUGCAAACACGAAAGUGGACGUAUACGGUGUGACGCCUGCCCGGUGCCGGAAGGUUAAUUGAUGGGGUUAGCGCAAGCGAAGCUCUUGAUCGAAGCCCCGGUAAACGGCGGCCGUAACUAUAACGGUCCUAAGGUAGCGAAAUUCCUUGUCGGGUAAGUUCCGACCUGCACGAAUGGCGUAAUGAUGGCCAGGCUGUCUCCACCCGAGACUCAGUGAAAUUGAACUCGCUGUGAAGAUGCAGUGUACCCGCGGCAAGACGGAAAGACCCCGUGAACCUUUACUAUAGCUUGACACUGAACAUUGAGCCUUGAUGUGUAGGAUAGGUGGGAGGCUUUGAAGUGUGGACGCCAGUCUGCAUGGAGCCGACCUUGAAAUACCACCCUUUAAUGUUUGAUGUUCUAACGUUGACCCGUAAUCCGGGUUGCGGACAGUGUCUGGUGGGUAGUUUGACUGGGGCGGUCUCCUCCUAAAGAGUAACGGAGGAGCACGAAGGUUGGCUAAUCCUGGUCGGACAUCAGGAGGUUAGUGCAAUGGCAUAAGCCAGCUUGACUGCGAGCGUGACGGCGCGAGCAGGUGCGAAAGCAGGUCAUAGUGAUCCGGUGGUUCUGAAUGGAAGGGCCAUCGCUCAACGGAUAAAAGGUACUCCGGGGAUAACAGGCUGAUACCGCCCAAGAGUUCAUAUCGACGGCGGUGUUUGGCACCUCGAUGUCGGCUCAUCACAUCCUGGGGCUGAAGUAGGUCCCAAGGGUAUGGCUGUUCGCCAUUUAAAGUGGUACGCGAGCUGGGUUUAGAACGUCGUGAGACAGUUCGGUCCCUAUCUGCCGUGGGCGCUGGAGAACUGAGGGGGGCUGCUCCUAGUACGAGAGGACCGGAGUGGACGCAUCACUGGUGUUCGGGUUGUCAUGCCAAUGGCACUGCCCGGUAGCUAAAUGCGGAAGAGAUAAGUGCUGAAAGCAUCUAAGCACGAAACUUGCCCCGAGAUGAGUUCUCCCUGACUCCUUGAGAGUCCUGAAGGAACGUUGAAGACGACGACGUUGAUAGGCCGGGUGUGUAAGCGCAGCGAUGCGUUGAGCUAACCGGUACUAAUGAACCGUGAGGCUUAACCUU
RNAcentral lists this ribosomal RNA (2904 nucleotides) under Escherichia coli. RNAcentral describes it as "23S ribosomal RNA". It matches the Rfam family "Bacterial large subunit ribosomal RNA". The record is from RNAcentral. Lineage: Bacteria; Pseudomonadati; Pseudomonadota; Gammaproteobacteria; Enterobacterales; Enterobacteriaceae.